Long non-coding RNA from Solanum pennellii, 1105 nucleotides. RefSeq lists it as uncharacterized. The record is from RefSeq and is a predicted model, not a curated record. The transcript has 2 exons. NCBI's taxonomy places the organism in Eukaryota, Viridiplantae, Streptophyta, Magnoliopsida, Solanales, Solanaceae.
CAUAUUAUACAAUAAAUUAUUUUUUCUUUUCCCAAAAAUAACAAAACAUAUACAAAUUUCAGUAUUCUCUUGCAGCAUCAUUUCAUCGUCGUCAAAUUCUAGUUCGAAAAGUCCUAAUAUAGCUGGUACACCAGUUCACCCAAAUAGACGUCACUAUCGUUGUCUUUGGUUAUAAUCAGUGCUGGUUGUGAGUGUAUUGUAUUAUGCUGUUCUGCGCUCAACUCACAAUUAGAUUGUUAUUUCUUAAACCGCUAUCUCCAAUUCUGAAAUUGUUGUUGGGUUGUGCUUCUCUAACACACACCAAAGCUCUCAGAUUUCUUACACAAAUUUCAAUCCCAACUUUACAUAGCUCUAAUUUUAGGUCAUAUUAUCUAUUUUCUCAUGCCUUUUUUGGACUUAUUUUCUGAUUUUAGGUUAUUCUUUGUAAUUAUAAAGUCAAUUGGGUCGAUUAUUUGAACUGUAUAUUGUUGUAGUGUUGAAGAAGAAAGAAAUCAACAAGAGCAGCUGAACAAAAAAGUUGUUCUUGAAUAUUUUUAAGGCUGAAAUAGAGAGGAUAUAAACUCAACAGAAUGACGAUGUUACUCAAUCAGUUGACACAUUUACAAAAGUUAUGGGGCAAGAUCAUCCAGGUCGAGUAAUAUUAUAUGAACGUGGAGUAACCAAGACUCUUUUGAAACAUAAAUAGGGAGAUUAUGUUCCCUCUUCACAAACUGUUGAUGAUGGAAAGAGAAUGCAACAAAGAAUGCAAGAAAAAUUCUAUGCAGAAAAGAUAUAAUGGAAAGAGAUGUUACAGUAAACAUCAUUGCACAACUUCAGCGUCUAAAUGCAGAGUUAACACUUGAUCCUUAUAUGCUUAGAUUCACUGUUGCUUCUUCCGUAGAUAGGGCUGCUCUUCAACUAAUCCAUCGUCCAUCUGUUGGCUGUAACAAUCAACUUUAGUUUUUUUUACUUCUUCUUAUAUUCUAUCUAGAACAACUCGAUCAUGAUUCGUGCACACCACUAUUUAUUGCUUGCUAGUUAGAACUAGCAAAAUUGGCCAAAAUGCCUAAGUAUUGAGAAGAAAUGAUCAUUUGCUUGCAUAUCCACCUGAGUAUUUAUUUGAUUA